This 300-nucleotide long non-coding RNA is filed under the name Homo sapiens (human). RNAcentral describes it as "HSALNT0187316". The record is from RNAcentral. Lineage: Eukaryota; Metazoa; Chordata; Mammalia; Primates; Hominidae.
CCCUGUCUCUACUAAAAAUACAAAAAAUUAGCCAGGUAUGGUGGUGGGCGCCUGUAGUCCCAGCUACUUGGGAGGCUGAGGCAGGAGAAUCACUUGAACCCGGGAGGUGGAGGUUAUAGUGAGCUGAGAUCACGCUGCUGCACUGCAGCCUGGGUGACAGAGCAAGAUACUAUUUCAAAAAAAAAAAAGAAAUUAUUAAAUAUAUUUGUUCAUUUGUUUAAGCAUAUCAAAAUUUGUGGUUAUAAGCAUAGUUGGUCCAUUGAUCAUGGCAGCAAGAAUGAGAGUUGAUAAAAGAGGAAA